RNAcentral lists this unclassified non-coding RNA (346 nucleotides) under soil metagenome. RNAcentral's name for it is "partial contains 5.8S ribosomal RNA, internal transcribed spacer 2, and large subunit ribosomal RNA". The stretch from base 1 to 119 matches the Rfam family "5.8S ribosomal RNA", at positions 35 to 154 of the family's 154-position model. The record is from RNAcentral.
GAUGAAGAACGUAGCGAAAUGCGAUACGUAAUGUGAAUUGCAAAUUCAGUGAAACAUCGAGUCUUUGAACGCACAUUGCGCCCCCUGGUAUUCCGGGGGGCAUGCCUGUCCGAGCGUCAUUGCUGCCCUCAAGCACGGCUUGUGUGUUGGGCCCCGUCCUCCGAUCCCGGGGGACGGGCCCGAAAGGCAGCGGCGGCACCGCGUCCGGUCCUCGAGCGUAUGGGGCUUUGUCACCCGCUCUGUAGGCCCGGCCGGCGCUUGCCGAUCAACCCAAAUUUUUUAUCCAGGUUGACCUCGGAUCAGGUAGGGAUACCCGCUGAACUUAAGCAUAUCAAUAAGCGGAGGA